This 274-nucleotide ribosomal RNA is filed under the name uncultured bacterium. RNAcentral describes it as "partial 16S ribosomal RNA". It matches the Rfam family "Bacterial small subunit ribosomal RNA", at positions 523 to 796 of the family's 1533-position model. The record is from RNAcentral.
CUACAGAGGGUGCAAGCGUUAAUCGGAAUUACUGGGCGUAAAGCGCGCGUAGGCGGUUUAAUCAGUCGGAUGUGAAAGCCCCGGGCUCAACCUGGGAACUGCAUUCGAUACUGUUAAGCUAGAGUAUGGUAGAGGGAAGUGGAAUUCCAGGUGUAGCGGUGAAAUGCGUAGAUAUCUGGAGGAACAUCAGUGGCGAAGGCGACUUCCUGGACCAAUACUGACGCUGAGGUGCGAAAGCGUGGGGAGCAAACAGGAUUAGAUACCCUAGUAGUCC